CUCUCUCUCUCUCUCUCUCUCUCUCUCUCUAUCUAUCUAUCUAUCUAUCCAUUUUCUUUCUCACCCCCUUAUUACUAUCGUUAUCAGUAAUAUUUGUAAUACUGAUAACCAUAUCUUAUUACGCAGAAGAAAACAUCUCUCCCAACACCACUUCUGCAGAUAAGUUACAAACCUGAAGCCGUGUACGUAUGGUGAUGUUACAAGCAGGUACACACGACACGAGAUUUCUACAGCGCCUGCCAACGACAUCCUUAGAUUGUGUUUCUCGAGUUCUACCCCGACCCUUCUACACAUGUUUUAAUUUUAACACGCUAAAGAAUUCAGAGAUCGGAAUGCAGUGGCUACAUCCAGCAGGAGGGACAAUAGAAAGGUUAAACGUGGCCGCAGAAUACGCUCAGCUGAGCGUUUUAACGAAGCUGACCAUCAAUACAUCAGUGCCUCUAGAUCCUUC
This is a long non-coding RNA of Penaeus indicus, 451 nucleotides long. RefSeq lists it as uncharacterized. Lineage: Eukaryota; Metazoa; Arthropoda; Malacostraca; Decapoda; Penaeidae. The transcript is spliced from 3 exons. The record is from RefSeq and is a predicted model, not a curated record.